GGGUUGUGAGGUUAAGCGACUAAGCGUACACGGUGGAUGCCCUGGCAGUCAGAGGCGAUGAAGGACGUGCUAAUCUGCGAUAAGCGUCGGUGAGGUGAUAUGAACCGUUAUAACCGGCGAUUUCCGAAUGGGGAAACCCAGUGUGUUUCGACACACUAUCAUUAACUGAAUCCAUAGGUUAAUGAGGCGAACCGGGGGAACUGAAACAUCUAAGUACCCCGAGGAAAAGAAAUCAACCGAGAUUCCCCCAGUAGCGGCGAGCGAACGGGGAGGAGCCCAGAGCCUGAAUCAGUGUGUGUGUUAGUGGAAGCGUCUGGAAAGGCGUGCGAUACAGGGUGACAGCCCCGUACACAAAAAUGCACAUAUUGUGAGCUCGAUGAGUAGGGCGGGACACGUGGUAUCCUGUCUGAAUAUGGGGGGACCAUCCUCCAAGGCUAAAUACUCCUGACUGACCGAUAGUGAACCAGUACCGUGAGGGAAAGGCGAAAAGAACCCCGGCGAGGGGAGUGAAAAAGAACCUGAAACCGUGUACGUACAAGCAGUGGGAGCCUCUUAAUGGGGUGACUGCGUACCUUUUGUAUAAUGGGUCAGCGACUUAUAUUCUGUAGCAAGGUUAACCGAAUAGGGGAGCCGAAGGGAAACCGAGUCUUAACUGGGCGUUAAGUUGCAGGGUAUAGACCCGAAACCCGGUGAUCUAGCCAUGGGCAGGUUGAAGGUUGGGUAACACUAACUGGAGGACCGAACCGACUAAUGUUGAAAAAUUAGCGGAUGACUUGUGGCUGGGGGUGAAAGGCCAAUCAAACCGGGAGAUAGCUGGUUCUCCCCGAAAGCUAUUUAGGUAGCGCCUCGUGAAUUCAUCUCCGGGGGUAGAGCACUGUUUCGGCAAGGGGGUCAUCCCGACUUACCAACCCGAUGCAAACUGCGAAUACCGGAGAAUGUUAUCACGGGAGACACACGGCGGGUGCUAACGUCCGUCGUGAAGAGGGAAACAACCCAGACCGCCAGCUAAGGUCCCAAAGUCAUGGUUAAGUGGGAAACGAUGUGGGAAGGCCCAGACAGCCAGGAUGUUGGCUUAGAAGCAGCCAUCAUUUAAAGAAAGCGUAAUAGCUCACUGGUCGAGUCGGCCUGCGCGGAAGAUGUAACGGGGCUAAACCAUGCACCGAAGCUGCGGCAGCGACACUAUGUGUUGUUGGGUAGGGGAGCGUUCUGUAAGCCUGUGAAGGUGGCCUGUGAGGGUUGCUGGAGG
This 1246-nucleotide ribosomal RNA is filed under the name Escherichia coli. RNAcentral describes it as "bacterial LSU rRNA". It matches the Rfam family "Bacterial large subunit ribosomal RNA", at positions 1 to 1279 of the family's 2925-position model. The record is from RNAcentral. Lineage: Bacteria; Pseudomonadati; Pseudomonadota; Gammaproteobacteria; Enterobacterales; Enterobacteriaceae.